Molecule: transfer RNA, 72 nt
Filed under: Camelus bactrianus (Bactrian camel)
Lineage: Eukaryota; Metazoa; Chordata; Mammalia; Artiodactyla; Camelidae
Also listed under: 1 other name
Rfam family: tRNA
About the family: Transfer RNA (tRNA) molecules are approximately 80 nucleotides in length. Their secondary structure includes four short double-helical elements and three loops (D, anti-codon, and T loops). Further hydrogen bonds mediate the characteristic L-shaped molecular structure. tRNAs have two regions of fundamental functional importance: the anti-codon, which is responsible for specific mRNA codon recognition, and the 3' end, to which the tRNAs corresponding amino acid is attached (by aminoacyl-tRNA synthetases). tRNAs cope with the degeneracy of the genetic code in two manners: having more than one tRNA (with a specific anti-codon) for a particular amino acid; and 'wobble' base-pairing, i.e. permitting non-standard base-pairing at the 3rd anti-codon position.
Source: Rfam by way of RNAcentral
GAAGGUAGAGCUCAGUGGUAGAGCGCAUGCUUAGCAUGCAUGAGGUCCUGAGUUCAUUCCACAGUACCUCCA